Molecule: unclassified non-coding RNA, 3478 nt
Organism: Megachile rotundata (alfalfa leafcutting bee)
Lineage: Eukaryota; Metazoa; Arthropoda; Insecta; Hymenoptera; Megachilidae
Source: RefSeq, a predicted model, not a curated record
GUUACCACUACAUAUAUCUGACCUCGGGUCAAGUCAGGUUAGGUGCAAGAUCAGCUUGGAAGUUGGGGCACAGAAUUUAUUUUGAAGAAAUAUUGUCAGUCGCUAAUAUCAAACAUGGCAGGUGCGCUGAAAAAGACAACGGGAUUAACUGGUCUCGCAGUGGUAAAGUUGGCUCAUCGCGAAUUGGAUGUAGCGUAUGAUAAACUUCUACGCAUUUUGAAUAACAUGCCACAAGAUUACGCUUACAGAACGCAUACGGAGAAAUUGGUGAAGGAAAGACAAAACAUCGUACAGCAGAAUCCAACGGUCGAAGCCGUAGAAGAAAAGAUAGGCUGUGGUCAAAUCGAAGAGCUAAUAAUUCAAGCGAACAACGAGAUAUCUUUGGCUAAGGAUAUGUUAAAAUGGAAACCGUGGGAAAACUUGGUGGAAGAACCUCCGGCGCAUCAGUGGACUUGGCCUCCGCAUAAAUAAAUCUAAUCAUUUGGCCGACAUUUGUACAUAGUGCUCAACUUUCGUCGUCUUAUGCAUACAAUCCCGUGAAAUGAAAAGUACCGCUGAAUGUAUCGUUCUUCCUUUCUUCGCUGUGGAACACGAUACCGUCGUCUCCGCUAUAGUAAUCGUCGCUAACACGGACAAGUGCCAACUUCCUAUAGCGCGAUAAAACUUCCUUUGGAAUUGCACCAUCGAGAGAAUCAGUUUGUAUAAAUUAUGCGUAAUCGGCAUGCGUGUAGGUGUCAAUUAUUUCACACGACCGAUAGGCUGGGAGUCAAAAAUUGGUGUCCCAAAUCGAAUGGUUGCAGGGAGCGGAGUAUUGUUUGGGACAUUUUGCAAACGAAACACGUCGCCGCGUUCGAUGUCAAAUACAUUUGAUCCGAGCGAGAAAUCAUAGUCGAGGAGUAGAAAUUGCGGUAAAAGGAAUGCGGAGAGUAAAGAGUUUGAACAUAGAGAAAGAGGAAAAGAGAGAGCGAGAGAGUGAAAAGAGAGAGGGGGAGGGAAAACGUUACGCGUUACUCGGUAGUGGGGAAACGAGGAAGGAAUAGGUAGGUUGGAGGUAGGAGAACGGUUUUAACCAAGUAUUCAGGGGAGGGGAUUCGAGAGAGCCGCUGUUCAGUUCCGAUUUUGCGUCGCGCGCGACGAUAGCGAACACCAGACACGCGAAUCGCACUUCGUUUCAAGACGUUUCAUUGUCGAUACAUUGUUCGGUAUCGCGUUUUCGAGCUUCGUUUUCUUUCUCUUCUUCCUCUUGAUCCUUUUCAGCUGUCCCUUUUUUCGCAACAAUUUCUCUUUUCAAUUUCACCGCUAUACCAUGCUUCUCCAGACCUCUCAGUUUUCUACGUCCAUCUUUUUCAUGUAGCAAACGAAGGAUCGAAAAUCCGAAGUAAAAUAUCGCGUCCGUGACACGAGUGCGAACGCGAGAAAGAUACGCGAAAGUCGCGAGUUCGAAAGUUGAAAAUUCGGCCGCGGAAUGCGCGUGUGGUUCGGUGCAACGAAAAGUUGAUCACGGUCACGAUCGCGAACGACGCUUCGCGGAUGAUCGGUGACAGUGAAAUACAGGAUCGUAGGUCAUUUUUAUCCACCUCGUCGACUCGAAUGAAGAGGAGCGAUUUGCUCGUUUGGGAAUAUCGUCCAUAGGAUAUCGAUCGGUCGAUCGAUCGAUGGAUCGACUAAUUUGGCGAUAAACGAAGAGAAGGAAAAGUCGGAGAUCGGUGCGUAAAACGCGUUUCGCGAUUCUUUCCGUACUCGAAUCGAGUUGAAAACUCGUAGACUCGAGAUCGAAGGAUAACGCGAAAGGCUUCGAUCGUAUUGCAGCGCAGGGGAAACGUUCUUUCGCGCGGUGAUUCGAACAGUCGUAGAAUAAAUUUUUCUGCGCAGCGAUAUCGGCCACCUAAAAAUCGGACAGCGAUCGUAAAGGGUAUCUCGUCGUGUUCCAAACGAACACCGUAGAUAUAUCGAGUUAAGAAGAAACAAUAGCCGUGGAAGGAAACGCGUUCCCGUUCGAAGACAAUGCGCGUAAUUUCGUGGAACGCGACGAAACGAAAGCGGCUAGGAUAUUGCCCUCGCUCGAACGAAACUAGCGAAAACGCUCGCCGCGUUCGCUCGUAGCUUCGGCUCGGAUCGACGAGAUUUCCGUUUCACGCGAAAAGGUAGAAGGAAGAUCGCGCGCGAACGAAUCGGAAGAACGUUAACGCGGCGUGACGUUGGCCCGUUACGCGGUCCAUGCUCCGCGCUUUGCGCUCCGUGCUUCAGCUACUGGCUGAAUGCUCGUUCGCGAAUCAACCGAACCGUUCGAGAGUCGACGAAGAAUCGCGGAGACGCGAGAUGUCCGUCGGAAAAGAAGGCGAGGCUCGUUUACCGGCAAGGCUGAUCGUUAUCGUUUUAACGCGUUUGCUUACGUAACGCGCGCGUAAACUCGUCCCUUUUUCUCGAUUAUCCGAACCGCAUUCUUCUUGCUUGGUCGACUCGGAAUCGUGUCUCGCGACAACGAACUGCCGAUAAAUCGAGUCGUCGAUCGUAGGUACUCGCGUUACGGAUCGCGAUCUCGAUCGGCCGGCUAAAUCGAGAAAGAAGGAAUUUGCGAACCUCGAGAGGUUUCGGAAUUGCUUCGAACGGAAGGACAGACACACACGGCAGUCACGUCGAAGGAGUAAAAUAUCGAAGAGACCGGUCCGCCUCGUCGCAACGUUUUACCGUUUUGAUCUUACCGGUUCACGGGUUCCGGCCUCGAUCGAGGCAAUCUUGCUCCUACGGAGUCGAGACGAAUCGAAUCGAACCGAACCGAACCGAUUCAUCUUCCGGAGUACACGGUGCUUGGCGUAGUCGCGCGUAUCGCGAAUGCGACUCGCUCGAACGAGCUCGUCGCGGUCCGUUCGCUCGCCUCGGUUGCGUUCGAAAUUCGCGUCGAUUCGUCGAUCCGCGCUUGUCGACGAUACUCACCGUACGGUCGCCUAGAUUCGUCGCUUCCGCUUUCCUAGAAACAACGACGCUGAACGUCGUGUGUCCGAACGAGACGCGAAUCGCUAUCUUCGAACAUCGUAGGAACUCGCAACGACCGUUCGCGUCGUUUCGCGUUUACGCGAGUAACUUUCACUUCUCGAUAGCCGUUAUUCGCCGUUCGCGCCCGCCAAGAAUGUUUUGCGAACGGGUUAGUCGUCGCGAUUUAACAGCGUUGUACCGACGAGAUUCCGUGACAAACGCAACGUCCUGGCGAGACGAGCGACAAAGAAACGAACUCGAGAUUCCGAACGAAAACUGAGGCGCGUAACGUUCGAUUCGAUGUAAGAGGUAGGCGUUCGGCGAUCGAGAACGGAUAGGAAAACGUUCCUGCCGUUUACCUUUGUUUUUCUCGCCUCCAAGAUCAGAGAGACCGUUCGAGACGCUCGUUUCUCUUGACCACCUUCGAAACGAUUCACGAUCUUCGACGAUCCAAGCGCGCGGCGAAGAUUGCGAUCGAGAAAGUUUUCGUCUCGCGAAGAGAAAC